UCGUCUAUGGCAUGCAGAACGAGGCGCAGGCUUGGUAAGAUGAUGCGGCAGGUAGACUGGAAGCGGGAAGCUGAUCCGUCAACGAAAUUGUGAGCCUGGUGUUUCCUUCCUCAGAUUUAUAUAUUACUGUACUAUAGUUCUUUAUGAGGACGCUGGGAGGAUCUCACGAAAAAGUCCAACAUCAGAUGGGGAAAUUGGGGUAGUUGAGUGAGAAACAGAGAAAGGGAUGUGAAAACAGAGGAGCAGAUGAGAGUUCACAAUAUUUCCUUUUCUUCAGAGAUGCCUCAUACAGGUUUACUGGUUCAGUUAAGUACCCACACCAGCUACGGCACACACGACAAGUGGGCCACUCACACACACAACUCCAUCGCUAGAUCUCAGCCGUCCGUCGCCAGCAUGGACCGGUCAGCGGUGGACACGCAACAUUACCCCUUUACCUUUGUUUUCCUGCACAGUUUGCUUGCAAUCCCCUCUUUUCACCCAAUGAUUCCAUUAUAAUAAUGUGUGUCCAACCUGAAUUUUGUGUAGACAGUGUUCAUCCUGGUUCUGGUCAAUCCUUGAGUUUAUUCUCAUAAAUUGGCUUGCAGUGUCCCUAAUGAUGCUAGGAUGGUUUAUUUUUUAAUGAUGUGUGAUCAAGGUACCAUAACUAAUAUUGACUAGACAUGGCAAUUUUCUAUUACCCAUGUACGUUGUUCUGUGUUGAUGCUUGAGCGAUACGUAAGAAAAAUAAUGCAUGAGUAACCUCACAAAUUGAGGUGCUAAAUAAAUUGUUCGUUGGGCUGGGGUGCUACAGAUUAGGGUAAUAAAUUAGGAUUUGCCAUACCCUUAAUGCUCAACGAUUAGGGUUGAUUUUAUUAAGUUCAUAAUGUACAAUGAUCUAUGAUUUAAUUAACUGAAUUCUUGGUGCUUCAAUUUCCACGGAUGUUCACUUGAUUUCCACGGGUGUUAUUUCAAUUUGUUAUACAAUUCAUGCAUACACACUAUGUAUUUUUCAUUUUACCAACUUCAGAAAUUAUUCAGAUCACCUUGAUGUUUGAAUUACUUUUGAGCAGAAGAAAGUAUAGGGAAUAGAGUGUAUGUAGUCUGCAGGGAUAAAAUUACUCUCCCUAUAGGGUGUCGGAGCAUUUUUCUUAUUGAACAUAGCUUCUUUGUCUUUAGGAAUAAGAAAACUGCCCCCCAUCGAAGAUGCUUUCAAGGGCCAUCUGUAAUUGUCUCAUGAAUAGACGUCUGUCGUUGGACAAUGAGAGGACAGCCAAGGUGAAGAUACAACGCCUACCAUGCAUCCUCCAAGUGAGCUCCAAUCAGACGUGGUGUCACAACUCUUUUCUCCUUAACCGUCCUGAGAUAAUUAUUGCGUAUUAAUU
RNAcentral lists this long non-coding RNA (1364 nucleotides) under Triticum aestivum (bread wheat). RNAcentral's name for it is "long non-coding RNA (TAES_LNC007878)". The record is from RNAcentral. Lineage: Eukaryota; Viridiplantae; Streptophyta; Magnoliopsida; Poales; Poaceae.